UUCAGUUCUUCUUUGUUCAGUUCCCCCUGUCAGGUUGCCCUAGAUGGAAGAACCUGUUCCAUCACAUGCUCCUUCUUUUGGUGCAUCUUCAGCUUGAGCUAUGACUUCACUCAAUUCUUUUACUAGCCCAAUAGCUUCAUCUUUAUGUUCCUGUCUCUUAGAAAGAAUUUUAGUUUCAUCAAAAACUACAUGUACACUUUCUUCUACACACAAAGUUCUUUUGUUGUACACUUUAUAAGCUUUGCUAUGUAAGGAAUAUCCCACGAAUACUCCCUCAUCACUUCUGGGAUCAAACUUACUAGGGAGUCCUUUCCAUUAUUGUGUACAGAGCACUUGCAUCCAAAUGACCUAAGAUGAGAUAUAUUUAAUUUUAUCCCUUUAAGUAACUUAUAAGGAGUCUUCUCUACAAGAGGUCUAGUCAUACACCUAUUAAUGAUGUAACAUGCAAUAUUUACAGCCUCUGUCCAGAAGCUAUAUGGCAGUUUACUAGAAAGAAGCAUAGUCCUAGCCAUAUCUUCAAGAGUCCUAUUAUUUCUUUCAACUACUCCAUUUUGUUGAGGAGUCCUAGGUGCAGAGAAGUUAUGAUCUAUACCAUGCUCAUUACAAAAUUCAGCAAACUUAGCAUUUUCAAAUUCAGUUCCAUGAUCGGACCUAAUUGAUGCAAGUUGAUUACCUAGUUGUUUCUAAGUUUUUCUAACAAAGGUAGUAAACAUGUCAAAUGCUUCAUCCUUAGAUGUUAAAAAAAAUACCCAAGUAAACGUAGAGUAAUCAUCUACAGUACCAUCACAUAUUUCUUACCACCUCUGCUUAAUGUUCUCAUUAGACCACAGAGAUCCAUAUGAACUAGUUCCAUCAUCCUGGUCGUGCUUACCAUUUUCUUGCCUUUAAAAGAUGAUCUUACCUGCUUCCCCCUUGCACAGGCCUCACAAACUUUGUCUUCCUUGAACUUGAUGUUAGGUAACCCUAUCACCAGGUCCUUGGAGACUAAUUUGUUGAGUUGAUUUAGACUUGCAUGACCAAGUCUUUUGUGCCACAGGAGGGUAUCAUUAUCUAACACACUCAAGAAAGUGAGUUCAUUUUCUAAAAGAGUGGAAAGAUCUACAAUAUAAAUAUUGUUAACUUUUUUUUCUAUCAAAACAAUCUUGUCAGUGGUAAGAUUAAUCACAAAACAUUUGGUAGAGGUGAAUGCUACCAAGUUACCCCUGUCACACAGUUGUUAGGCUAUAUUUCAAGCCAUCUAUCAAGUAGACAUUCUCAGUGGAAUGUGAGUCUGUCUUACCUACCUUUUCAACCCUAAUGAUCUCACCUUUAUUCCCAUUUCAAAAGGAGAUAUUACCUCCUUUUAGGUCCUCAAGUGAAAGAAACUGGUUCUUACUUCCAGUCAUAUGCUUUGAGCAGCCACUAUCCAUGUACCAUAUUUGGCUAGUUUCCUUCACUUGGACCUACAAAACAAAAUCAGGGGUUAGUCUUAGGAACCCAAACUAGUUUGGGUCCCUUUCUAUAGGCAAAUAGGUGAAUUAAAUUCCUUUUGGCCCAUCCAGACAACCUCUUUUUCUCUUGAACAAAGGUUUUGUUCUUUUGACUAGCCUUUUCUUUUGCAUCACAUUCACUUUUGUAAUGACCAGUCUUGCCACAAUGUGUGCAGAUUUUGUUUUCAGGAAGUGUGAUGUAUUUGUUUUUGGGAUCCCACUUAGGUGCUGGGGUCCCAUACCCAUGUCCUCUCUUGUUGCUAUUGUGGUGCUCUUGUAUCCAGGAUAGUGUAUCAGAGGACUUAUUCCAUUUGCAAGUUCUAUCUAGCUCAUGUUUUACGUUGCCUAGAUCUUCUUUUAGGACUCUUAUAUGCUCAUCUUUCUUGUACAACUCAUCCUUCAUUUUCCUAGAUUUUCUUCUAAGGUGAUAUGUGUGUGAUCAACUUUCUUCUUACCUGUUCCUAAUUUCAGUUUUAAAUUUUAAGACCAAAGUUGUAAGACAUUGGUGUCAAGUUCAAGCUGGUUCUUCAACUCAGUAUUUUUACUAUCACUUUCACUAGCUCUAAAUUCCAAAUUUUUGCACUUGGCUUUUACGAUCACACAUUCCCUAGACAAUUGUUUCUUCUAAUUGUUUAUAACCUCAGACUCAUCAAUGAAGUAUAGCAAUAAUUCAAAUAGCCUUUCUUUAGACAAAAAUUUAAUCUUGUCUUUGGGAUGAAUAACACUUACCUCUUGUUCAUCAUCUGAUUCUCCAAUGGCCAUAAGUGCUUGUCCAUCUCUAGCUUCAUCUUCUGAAUCCUAAUCUGAGGUCUCUCCCCAAGCAGAAACCAUACCCUUUGUUGAUCCUUUGUUCCUUUUGGGUUGAACAUGUUACUUCUUCCUGCUCCUUCGUUCAGCCUUUUUCUUCUUCCAUUCAAUUUCCCACUGAGGACAAUUCUUGAUCAUGUGGUCAGUCUUACCACAUUUGUAGCAGCCCUCGUUGGUAUGUUUUUCAGGAGCCCUUGGUUUGUUGAAGGUUGCACCUGUUGAACAACCCUUUACUCUCAUUAGGUACUUCUUGAAAUCCCUUGUGGUCAUAGCUAUUUCAUUAUCCUCUAAGUCUGCACCUUCAGCUAUUCUAAGAGCCAAGCUUCUUUCCUUAUUGGGUGUAUCCAUAUUCAUGGUUUUCCUUCUUAGUUCAUAGGCAAUGAGAUUUCCAAUCAGCUCAUCCAACUUGAGAGUAUCAAUAUUCUUUGAUUCCUGAAUAGCCGUGAUUUUGCUUUCCCAAGUCAUUGGCAAGACCCUUGUCAAGAUUUUCUCAACAUUGUCUUCUUCAAGGAUAAUUCUUCCAAGAGACUUAAGUUCAUUUGUUAAUGUUGUGAACCUUGUGUACAUCUCUUGGAUGGUUUCUCCUUCCUUCAUGGUGAAAUUCUCAUAUUGAGAAUAUAGUAGUGUUCCUCUUGAUCUCUUUACUUGAGGAGUUCCUUCAUGGGCCACUUGUAGAGUGUCCCAGAUCUCCUUAGCAGUGGUACAACUUUGAAUCAUGUUGUACGAGUCAGGACCUAGUCCACACACAAGCCAUUUCUUGUCCUUGGCAUUCUUUUCCCAUUUCUUCAAAUCUUCAGCAGUACAAUCAGCUCUUGUCUAUGGCACGUCCACUCCUUUAGCAUUUUUCUUUGUAGUAGCCAGGGGAUCAUCAGUAACUAUGUCCCAGAGUUCAUAGUCUCCUCCUAUAAUGUGGUCUCUCAUCCUUGUCACACCUCAUUUUUCUACCCCGGAAGGGUAUAAGAGAGUUUUUCCAAUUAAAGUGACAAUAGUCGAAAUGUGAUUAUUUAUUCAAAUUCAGAGUCGCCAUUAGGAUAAUUGAUGGUGUCCCAAGUAACCGGUUUAAAUCCCAAAUCGAGGAAGUUUGACUCUGUUUUACAGUCUGCGAAACACAGAAAUCCGGGUAAGGAAUUCUGUUAACCCGAGAGAAGGUGUUAGGCAUUCCCGGGUUCCGUGAUUUUAGCACGAUCACUCAACUAUUAUUAAUGGCCUAAUUAUCUGAUAAAUUACACAUUUUAAACCUACGUGCAUUUUUAACUUUCUAACCACUUUUAAUGUUUUUAGGAAAAUUCAUGAUCGUUAUACACUUGUUUGUUUUUAAAAACACAUCGUAAACCACGCUACAUAAAAUGCACCCGCUGUUCACGACAUGUUUAAUUUAUUUAACAUUAUUGGAAAUUGAAGUCGGAUCACAUGAAAUGUGCACCCGAAUUUGAAAAUUACAAAUCACAAUUACGUCACAAGAACCGUACCCGUAGCUAUGAUAAUUUAUUAUAACGCGCCUAAAGCAAACUACGAAUGUUCAUAUUUACUUCUUAAAAUUAUUUUGAGAUUGUUGAGAGGUCAUGAAAAUCGAUUGUGGCUUUCCACCACUCCCCACGAUCAACAAUCAUUCAAGCAAAUUCAUGUUCAAUGAAAUCAAUCAUCAACUAAAUAAAGUACCCAUAAUAAACAUCCAGAGCAAAAUGAGCGUUUUUAAGAAAACGACUGAAGCUUUGCGUGCAUGCUGUGCACAUUUGAUUAAUGCGGGAAGAGGUGAGGAUCAAUACGAAUACAGAAAACUAAUAGAUCUCCCGCUAAGACUACUAUAAUGAAUAAAAGACAUUCUUUUCAUUUAUAUAUCCUUUUAUUAUCAAACAUAAAACCAAAACUUUAUCCACAACAUGCCAAUCCAAUCUAGUGUUGUAUCCUUGGCAACAAGAAUAUCACUUGCUAUAUUUUCAUGGAUUAGAUAUUGUCAUGUCUGAAUGUUGCUUUCAAUCCGCAAGCAAAAAUGCAGUCAGAAAAAUAAAAAUGCAUUAUAUUGUUGCCAACUUCUAUGCUCACUUCACAAGGAUUAACUCUUCAUUUUAUCACUUGAAGCGCUUGCAGAUCAAUGCAUACAAACAGAGCACCAAUUUCAAUUCUUAAUGUGCAACCAAGUUAACAGAUGCCAUAAUUCUCAUUCAACCACAACAAGUUUCAAUCAUGCGAGACAAAUUCAGCUAAAGAAAUAAAUCAUUCAAGCCAAAAUUACCAUAAAUUUGAACUGAUUUUAAAAUUAAUUGGGCCAAAUGGCAUACUCCAGUAGACAAGGGAGAAACCAUCCAAAAUGUAUCACUAGUCGGCAUGGGAGCAGGUGGGUAGGAACAACUAAAUAUCAUUCGAUUAAUUAAAUGCGUUUUAAUUUUUUGAACUGAAAGCAUGAUUUCGAACUAUAUGUACAGGCAACGAUCUAACAUGGUACCCUAACAAGAGAACGCGAAGUAAGUAAGCAAAGGCGUAAUGCAAACGAUCACAAGACUACAAACUUCACACCAAGUUGCAGGGGAUUCAUAAUUCAGAUGUUGCUCAUCGCCUUAUUCUUAAUAGUCCGAAUUCAACGAACAGUCACAAAUGCCAACAAAAUUUAUCCUUUCCUAUCAAAACCAAACCUAUCCGACCUCAAAUGACACUCCAAGUACACCAAAGAAACAUCAUGCAUUAAAACAUGAACAGAAAAUCCAGUAAGACGACUAAUGAAGUUCAUUCUUAGUGAACAUAUAGAAAACAAGAUAAUCAGUUAAGAUUCAAACCCUACGAUCGGUCAAGUUCUCAAGAAAACAGAUUGAUGUUUCUGAAAAAAAAGAAAUUCAAAGCAACUCGGCGUUAAACCAGUAGACAAGUACAUGAAUAUCCACUGGAGAAGACUUCGAAAUGGUUCUCAUUCAAACUAAAAAAACUGGACGAGCUUAUAAAAUUGGAACAAAUGAAUAGUCAUUUAAACUUUAAUCAAUCGACUAAUCCAUCUCCAGUAGAAGAAACAAAGCACAAAUGGUCAUGUAUUUUGGACAGAGAUGUAGAUUUGUUCGAACAUGAUAAGCCAACAAAUAUUUACAAAUACCAUAUUGAACUCUUAGCUAAUUCAUCACUGACUGCCAACCCACACAUGGAGUAGAACAAGAACUAGCGGAGACAUAUGAAUCAAGUUGUAGAAAAACUAAAUCAGAGAAAGAUGCAAAUUGAAGGAUGAUUUCUCUAUGAAAACAUCACAAAAUAGUAAGAACAAAACUCAAAUAAAUCUGUCCAGAGCAGGAUAACUUUUGAAACAUACAUUCGAACACAAACUCAUUCGAAACUGUUUAUUAAGCGCAUACAAACUCAUUCUGUACCCUUAAGAUGUUAUAGACACUAAAGAACCCCAUCCGACCCCCCAUAGCUCUUAUCAUAUUUUAAAUAACACAAAAAAUAGAUUAAGAAAGAUUAGAGAUGAACCUGAAUCAGGAAACACCUUUGAUUAACUUUGCUUAAAUGCUAAAUACAAGUGAAAUCCAGCAGCGAAGAUCAAAACAAACAGUAACAAUAUCGAGCAGAAAUCACAAGCCUAAUCAAAAUUUAGAAACUCGGACAAAAACCCGAAUCGGCAACAAUUGAAACUCAAACUUAUAUACCUCAAGCAAUCUCCAUUUUUUUCCGACCAAAAUCCAGAUUCAAACGAAGAAAUAGAAAAGUUAAAAUAGAUAUGUAUCUAUAUUUUUUUUUGUGUUUUUCUGAAGUUUUAAGAACUGAAAAAUCAGAGAGCUAACAAUGGGAAAUCGAGCUAAAACCCUAGUUCUAUUUCUUUUUUUCUUCUUCUGGUUUUCUGGAAUUUUCAGAAAGAAAAUCAAAUCACAAAUUAUAGAAAACUAUUUUUUCUUCCAAAACCCUCCGAUUUUCCUCUCGCAGACCUCUAAAAAAUCCUCUCUUAUAUAGCCUUCAAGAAUUAUCGAACCUUCUACCCUCUUCUCCAAGAAAUCUCCAAAUACUCCUCCUAAUUCGAAAAAGCCACGAAAAAUCUCACAUAGAAUAAAAACCGGACAAAUAGAAGGCUUGGAUGUGAUUUCUCGCAUCCAACCGCUCCUAUUUACCCGAGAUUCGUCCCAAGAAAUCAAAAGCACGUGAGAAUGGGGUGAAGAUGAAAAUAUUCUGGCAGAGACGGUUAUGCCACGUUAGAGAGAGACGAAAAUAGGGGACCAUGUGCGAUGAGUUUGGUGGAAGAACUCGUCUAAAAUUCAAUCGAGUUUGGGCGAGCUUGGGCUAGGCAGAAUCGGAGCUGGGGGUGGGCACCGUUUCGGUUGUGAGAGUAUUAGGUCUAGGGUUUUGUUUUGUGUUAUAAAGGGGAUUAUAUAUG
RNAcentral lists this long non-coding RNA (6621 nucleotides) under Nicotiana tabacum (common tobacco). RNAcentral describes it as "long non-coding RNA (NTAB_LNC011488)". Lineage: Eukaryota; Viridiplantae; Streptophyta; Magnoliopsida; Solanales; Solanaceae. The record is from RNAcentral.